GCUUACGGCCACACUACCUUGAGAACGCCCGAUCUCGUCUGAUCUCGGAAGCUAAGCAGGGGAACAAAUAAAAAAGAGCGAUCACAGGCGUGAAAAACCCUGUUGACC
Molecule: ribosomal RNA, 108 nt
Filed under: Xiphophorus couchianus (Monterrey platyfish)
Lineage: Eukaryota; Metazoa; Chordata; Actinopteri; Cyprinodontiformes; Poeciliidae
Source: RNAcentral